This 370-nucleotide unclassified non-coding RNA is filed under the name uncultured Flavobacteriaceae bacterium. Its description in RNAcentral is "contains 16S-23S intergenic spacer region". Lineage: Bacteria; Pseudomonadati; Bacteroidota; Flavobacteriia; Flavobacteriales; Flavobacteriaceae. The record is from RNAcentral.
UCACAGUUUGCACUGGCAGUCUUGUUAGAGUUCCCGACUUGACUCGCUGGCAACUAACAACAGGGGUUGCGCUCGUUAUAGGACUUAACCUGACACCUCACGGCACGAGCUGACGACAACCAUGCAGCACCUUGUAAAUUGUCCGAAGAAAAGUCUGUUUCCAAACCUGUCAAUCUACAUUUAAGCCUUGGUAAGGUUCCUCGCGUAUCAUCGAAUUAAACCACAUGCUCCACCGCUUGUGCGGGCCCCCGUCAAUUCCUUUGAGUUUCAGGCUUGCGCCCGUACUCCCCAGGUGGGAUACUUAUCACUUUCGCUUAGCCACUCAGGUUGCCCCGAACAGCUAGUAUCCAUCGUUUACGGCGUGGACUAC